UAACUGUCUCUUACAGGCAAUCGGUGAAAUUGAUCUCCCUGUGCGAAAGCAGGGAUAACCACAUAAGACGAGAAGACCCUGUGGAACUUCAAAAACAGCAACCACCCCAAUAUACAUCCACACCCACCCCGGGCGCACUUACUCAUAAAGCACUGGUUAGCAUUUUUUCGGUUGGGGCGACCUUGGAGCAAAACAAAACCUCCAAAAAUUGGACCUUCCCUCCAGACUAAGAGCAACCACUCAACGUGCCAACAGCACCCAGACCCAAUACAAUUGACCAAUGGACCAAGCUACCCCAGGGAUAACAGCGCGAUCUCCCCCGAGAGUCCAUAUCGACGGGGAGGUUUACGACCUCGAUGUUGGAUCAGGACAUCCUAGUGGUGCAGGGGCUACUAAGGGUUCGUUUGUUCAACGAUUAACAGUCCUACGUGAUCUGAGUUCAGACCGGAGCAAUCCAGGUCGGUUUCUAUCUAUGACGAACUCUUCCUCGUACGAAAGGAUCGGAAAAGUGAGGCCUAUACCACAAGCAAGCCUUCGCCUUAAGUAAUGAAGCCAACUCAAUUACAAAAGGCUAUCACACCCCAUCACGUCCUAGAAAAGG
This 601-nucleotide ribosomal RNA is filed under the name Calandrella athensis (Athi short-toed lark). RNAcentral describes it as "partial 16S ribosomal RNA". It matches the Rfam family "Bacterial large subunit ribosomal RNA", at positions 2013 to 2849 of the family's 2925-position model. Lineage: Eukaryota; Metazoa; Chordata; Aves; Passeriformes; Alaudidae. The record is from RNAcentral.